GUGCUCGCUUCGGCAGCACAUAUACUAAAAUUGGAACGAUACGGAGAAGAUUAGCAUGGCCCCUGUGCAAGGAUGACUUGCAAAUUCGUAAAGCGUUCCAUAUUUUU
RNAcentral lists this small nuclear RNA (107 nucleotides) under Myotis brandtii (Brandt's bat). Lineage: Eukaryota; Metazoa; Chordata; Mammalia; Chiroptera; Vespertilionidae. The record is from RNAcentral.